This 5543-nucleotide long non-coding RNA is filed under the name Nicotiana tabacum (common tobacco). RNAcentral describes it as "long non-coding RNA (NTAB_LNC001984)". The record is from RNAcentral. Lineage: Eukaryota; Viridiplantae; Streptophyta; Magnoliopsida; Solanales; Solanaceae.
GACCCCCAUCUGCUUGUCCUUAAGGACACGGUUCAACACGGUGAUGCUAAGAAGGUCACUAUUGGGGAUGAUGGUGCAUUGAGGAUGCAGGGCAGGCUAUGUGUGCCCAAUGUGAAUGGGUUGCGUGAGUUGAUUCUCCAUGAGGCUCACAGCUCGCAGUACUCCAUUCAUCCAUGUGCCGCGAAGAUGUAUCAGGACUUGAGGCAACAUUACUGGUGGGAAAAAAUGAAGAAGGACAUAGUGGAAUAUGUAGCUCGGUGUCUGAAUUGCCAACAGGUAAAGUAUGAGCAUCAUUGGCCAGGUGGAUUGCUUCAAAGUUAGAGAUUCUGGAGUGAAAAUGGGAGCGGAUCACUAUGGAUUUCGUUGUUGGACUCCCAUGGACUCAGCGGAGGAUUGAUGUAGUUUGGGUGAUUGUGGAUAGGCUGACCAAGUCAGCUCAUUUCCUCCCUGUGAUGACUACCUAUUCUUCCGAGUAGUUGGCUCGAAUUUAUAUCCGCGAGAUUGUCAGGCUUCAUGGAAUACCAGUAUCUAUCAUCUCUGACCGGGGUACGCAACUUACAUCACGAUUUUGGAGGGCCGUACAACAUGAGUUGGGUACUCGAGUGGAGUUGAGCACAACAUUUCACCCUCAGACGGACGGGAAGUCCGAGCACACUAUUCAGAUAUUAGAGGAUAUGCUCCGUGCGUGCGUGAUAGAUUUUGGAGGUUCUUGGGAUCAGUUCUUGCCACUUGCGGAGUUUGCCUACAACAACAAUUAUCAGUCGAGCAUCCAGACGGCACCGUAUGAGGCUCUAUAUGGCAGGAGAUGUCGGUCUCCAGUGGGUUGGUUCGAGCCAGACGAGGCUAGAUUAUUGGGCACAGACUUGGUUCAGGAUGCUUUGGAAAAGGUUAAGGUGAUUCAGGAUUGACUUCACACAGCCCAGUCCAGACAGAAGAGUUAUGCGGAUAUGAAGGUUCGCGAUGUUGCAUUCAUGGUUGGGGAGCGGGUCUUGCUCCGGGUUUCGCCAAUGAAGGGCAUUAUGAGGUUCAGGAAGAAGGGCAAGUUGAGCGCAAGGUUCAUUGGUCCCUUUGAGGUGUUGCGGCGUGUUGGGUAGGUUGCUUAUGAGCUUGCCUUACCUCCCAGUCUAGCAGGAGUUCAUCCGGUAUUCCAUGUUUCUAGGCUCCGAAAGUAUCACGGUGAUCCGUCUCAUGUGCUGGAUUUCAGCUUAGUCCAGUUGGACAAGGAUCUAUCUUAUGUUGAGGAGCCAGUGGCUAUUUUGGACAGGCAUGUUCGAAAGCCGAGGUCAAAGAACGUUACUUUUGUGAAGGUUCAGUGAAGGGGCCAGCCGGUCGAAGAGGCGACUUGGGAGACUGAGCAGGAUAUGCGCAGCCGUUAUCCUCAUCUUUUCACCACUUUAGGUAUAUCUCUAUGCUCACUCGAGGAUGAACGGUUAUUUUAAGAAGGGGAGGAUGUAAUGACCCGACCGAUCGUUUAGAGAGUAAUAGCCCCGAUCCCCUAUUUACUGCUUUCCCCGUAUCUCUUUAUUCUUAUGUGACUUGCUGGGAGGUUUUGGUUGUGUUUUUGGAGUGUUUUGGAACACUUAGUCCUUAAAGUUGUAACUAAAGUUCUAAGAUUUUGACCAUAGUUGGAACUGUGUGAAGACGACUCCAGAAUGGAGUUUCGUCCAUUUUGUUAGCUCCGUUGGGUAAUUUUGGACUUAGGAACAUGUCCGGAUUGUGUUUUGGAGGUCUGUAGUUAAAUUAAGCUUGAAAUGAUGAAAGUUGAAAAUUUGGGAAGUUUGACCAUGUGAACUUUUGGACUUUUUGAUAUCGGGGUCGGAUUCCGAUUUCGGAAGUUGGAGUAGGUCCGUAAUGUCGAUUAUGACUUGUGUGUAAAAUUCGAGAUUUUGGUUGUGUUUUCGGAAAAUUUGGGAAGUUUGACCAUUUGGACUUAUGCAAAUUGCUGAAGUUUUCUGGUUUAUGGUGUUUUCGCACCUGCUGCGGGGAAACCGCAGGUGCGGACUCGCACGUGCGGAAGAUGGAGUACAGAAGUAGACGGGGCUUGGAGUGUGAUGAUUCACAGAAGCAGAAGAUAUCCCCAGAAGCGGGCGCGCAGGCGCGACCCCUUGCUCACAGAUGCGGACCCCGCCCCUUAAGUCAUUUCCGCACCUGCGAGGGAAUUUCUGUGGGUGUGACUGGUGGUUCGCAAAUGCGGAAUCGCUGGGCAGAAAAGAUUAAUUUCGAGGGUUUGAUCUCAUUUUUAUUUUGGGUCUUUGAGAGCUCAGAUUGAGGCGAUAAUUCAAGGAUUUUUCAGAGAGAACUUUGGGGUAAUGAUUCUUAACUUGUUUAUGGUUAUAUUCCACUAAUCUAUAGUUCAUCUCAUCAUUUGAUUAAGGAAUAUAGUUGAGAAUUUUGGGGAAAAGUUGGAAGGUUCUUCAAAUAAAUCUUUGAGUUUUGCUUCGGAUUUUGAUAUCGGAUUUGGAUAAUUUUGGUACGAGUGAACUCGUGAGUGAAUGGGUGUUCAUAUUUUGUGACUAUUACCCGUUUCCGAGACAUGGGCACGAGGAGGCUUUUUGGGGCGAUUUUCUAAUUUCUUGCUUUAGCUUUGAUUUCAUUAAUUAGAUUAAUUUCUUAUAGUUGUAUUUAUGGUAUGUAAUUAAUUUUGGCUAGAUUUGGGCCAUUCAGAGUCGGAUAUUCAUGAAAAAGGCAUUGUUACCGAUUGAUUGAGCUUAGUUCGAGGUAAUGGCUUGCCUAACCUUGUGUGAGAAAAUUCCCUUAGGAUUUGGUACAAUUGUGAUAUGUGAGCGUUGUGUAUGUGAGGUAACGAGUACGUACACGGGCUAUUUAUUGUAAAACCCGAUUUAUUCUACUGAGUAGCAACAUGUUUUUUCUUUAAUUUGAGUUAUACCGUUUAAAUGAGUAUUAGUCUAUUUUCAUUCUUAAUUGAGUUAUUCCAAUAUGUGUAGUUAUCUUGUUUAGUUUAAUAUCGCAUGUCUACGUGCUUUAACUGCUUAUUUGAACUCUGUGAAGCAUGCCUAGUUGAUUUUCCGCCUUUCCUUGUUCUUUAUCAGUAUAACCGUAGAAAUCUUGCUAUUAACAGUUGUAUUUAUCGGUUUGAGUUGUAUGUUUACUUUUGAGACUACGAGGCGGUUCCUCGAGAGUUUUCCCUGCACAUUUACUUUUAAGACUACGAGGCAGUUCCUCGGGAGUUCUCCCUGCACAUUUACUUUUUAGACUGCGAGGCGGUUCCUCAAGAGUUCUUCCAACAUAUUUACUUUUGAGACUACGAGGCAGUACCUCGGGAGUUCUCCCUGUAUAUUUACUUUUGAGACUACGAGGUGGUACUUCGGCAGUGCUCCCUGUAUAUUUAUUUUGGGACUACGAGACAGUAUAUUGGGAGAUCCCCUGUGAUUUACGAUUGUGUGUUGUACUGUUACCUUGAUGUGUUUCCUUUUGUUAAAUUCUAGUCUCUUAUUAUACUAUAUAUUCUCUUGCCUUAUUUAUUAUUUACCAGUGGGCUUGACCUGACCUCGUCACUACUCGACCGAGGUUGGGUUUAGAACUUAGUGGGUACCGUUGUGGUGUACUCAUGCUACUCUUCUGCAACAUAUUUUAUGUGCAGAUCCAGGUACUUCUUAUCAGCCCCGCUACUAAUUGAGAGUGCUUGCUAUUGUACGGAGACUUCAAGGUACAUCUGUCGCGUCCGCAAACCUCAGAGUCCCCAUCUAUUCUCUCCUUUGUCAUUUACCUUCCGUAUUUCUUUUAUUAGACUCUGGUGUAUAGAGAUUCUAGUUUCCUUCUGUAGCUUGUGACUUACGAAUUUCCGAAUUUUGGGAAGACUGUGUAUUUAUAGAAUAUUGGUUAUUGUACAUGCCGAGCGGUAUUGUUACUAGUUACUCAGUUAUCCACUGCUGUUAGUUGCCAAGUUUUACUUUUGUUUUGUUAUUUUCCGCAAUUUGUUAGACUUACCUAGUCGUAAAGACUAGGUGCCGUCACGACAUUAUACAGAGGGAGUUUGGGUCGUGACGUUCCACAAAUAGAAUUUAAAAAGGAUGGAGUGUACGCAGAACUUGCUCCCAUCUUAUGUGAGGUAAAGAGAUUGUUUCUGAACUUGCUCCCAACUUGCUCCCAUAUUAUAUUAAAGAACUUAAAUUACUGUGUAUUGAGAUGAAAGAGGUAGGGGUGGUUAUCGGGCGUAUUGGGCGGAUAAUUAUGCUUAAUGGUUUGGUUUAUCGGUUAUCGGUUAUCGAAUUAUAAAUGUAGUAAUUCGCUAGCCAUCCAAUAAGAUAACAUGCGGAUUAUAUCAGAUUAACGAUUAUCGGACGGUUUAUCGGCUAAAUCAAAUAGAAAUUAUUUGAACAAUCAAUAUCAAACGGCCAAAUGCAUAAUUCAAACUGUCUUUGUUAGUUUUUGAACAAUCAAUACCAUCAGCAUGGUUAUCCACAAGGGUAAUACUAUGGCUCAUAGAAGAAUUCAAUUAAUGUCCACUCAUAAUUCAUGAGAAGCCAGAAACAAUGCCAUUGGCUACAGACAAUUCUAUCAUUCUAUGUACAACUACUUAUGCAAUAAUGUAGUAACAAGUUUAUAUACAUAGGGGUAAAUGUGUAAAUAUAAAAAAUUUAACGGGUUAACGGUUCACCCGACAAGAAAAUUAAGUAAUUCGCCCCCAAUCCAAUACCAAUAAAUCAAUAAGCUAUUGGUUCGAUUUGAUUUGGUUAACAGUUUCGAUUAGAUUUUGAACAACACACCCUAGAAAGAGGUAUAAAUAAAGCUAAGAAGAUAAUAGGAGUAGUAAAUAUUCAUAAAGUCAAAUCUAACUUACCAGCAAAUUUUUUAAAAAAUUAGAAUUUUAAAUCAACAAGGAAAUAGUAUCAAGGCUUGAACUCCUAUGUGCAGAGUACUUUUGGGAUCAACAAUGUGUCCACUAGACAAAUUCCAAGAGUAAAUUGGAUUAAAGUUGAGAAUACUGCUGAUGUGCAAAUUAGGCUGUGGACAUUUCUUCGAAUAAAAAAUAUAAUAAUAAUAAUAAAAGAAAAGUAAAAAAUAAAAAAACAAAGCAGCUGGAAAACUAUAAGAGACAUUCUUCUCCGGCAAAGCAUCUUCCCUCCCCAUCCACUUUUUUCAUUUUCUCUCUCCUCACUCUCCCACCCCCACACACAUGGAACCCCCACUACUAUCCGGCGGCCCACCGAUUUCUACCACCGUUACAACGGCGUCGGUGGUUGGACCUAUGACACAGCCACCACCACCGACGUCAUCGUUACAUCUAAACAACUACGCCAACUCACUAGAUUCCGCCUCCCCAAAGUCACGCAACUCCAACUCCUGGGACGAUCAGCAACCGGCUAACGCCGGUGGCGGCGGAAAGCUCCGCCUCAUGUGCAGCUACGGCGGACACAUAAUCCCUCGCCCACACGAUAAAUCCCUUUGCUACAUCGGCGGCGACACCCGGAUCUUCGUCGCCGACCGCCGUACUUCUCUCUCCGACCUUUCCUCCCGCCUUUCCAAAACCCUCCUUUCCGGCCGUCCGUUUUGGCUUAAAUACCAGCUCCCUAACGAANNNN